CCAGCUCUGUUCCUGGGUGCAGGGGUAGGAUCUGGGCUCCUUGUGCUGCUGUUACUGCUGACAGGAGGAGUGCUGAAGUGUCUGCAAUCCAGACGAGACCCUGCUGUCCAGAUUGAACCUGUGUACGCCAAUGUGAAUAAGCUGGAUCGGUCUCCACGGCAACAGGAUGAUACAAUCCCUGAUCCAGAAACACUCCCCCUGUCCCCAAGAAAACAUGUCUGACAGAUCUGAUGUAGAAUACGCAACAGUUGAAACUUCCAGAGGCUGUCUGUUGAUGAGAAAUCCACCCGGUGGAGAAUACUUUUGUGGUUAAUAGUAAACCACCUCAUAUUCACUGUAAACCAAAACGAUCUUUCCAUUUAAUAAAAGCACUUUCUGCUGC
Polyodon spathula (Mississippi paddlefish) is the source of this 382-nucleotide long non-coding RNA. RefSeq lists it as uncharacterized. Lineage: Eukaryota; Metazoa; Chordata; Actinopteri; Acipenseriformes; Polyodontidae. The record is from RefSeq and is a predicted model, not a curated record. The transcript has 3 exons.